GCGAGAAAUUUUAUAUUCAAGCCUUCGGGUAAGAAUAUAAAAUGGAGAGCGGCAAACGGGUGAGUAACACGUAGGUAAUAUACCUAUCAGAGGCGGAUAAUUCCGGGAAACUGGUUGUAAUACUCCAUAUAAUCAUAUUUUGAUGAAAUAUGAUGAAAGAUUUAAUCGCUGAUAGAUUAGCCUGUGGGCCAUUAGCUUGUUGGUGAGGUAAAUGCUCACCAAGGCUAUGAUGGCUAGCCGACCUGAAAGGGUGAUCGGCCACACUGGGACUGAGACACGGCCCAGACUCCUACGGGAGGCUGCAGUGGGGAAUCUUGCGCAAUGGGUGAAAGCCUGACGCAGCAACGCCGCGUGAAGGACGAAGUCCUUCGGGAUGUAAACUUCUUUUAGGAGGGAAGAAAUGCCCGCUUGACGGGAGCUGACGGUACCUCCAGAAAAAGCACCGGCUAACUCCGUGCCAGCAGCCGCGGUAAUACGGAGGGUGCAAGCGUUGUCCGGAAUCACUAGGCGUAAAGCGCACGUAGGCGUUUUUGCAAGUCGGUUGUGAAAGUUCUCUGCUUAACGGAGAAAAGUCAACCGAAACUGCAAAAAUUGAGAGUAAGAGAGGAGAGCGGAAUUCCUGGAGGAGCGGUGAAAUGCGUAGAUUUCAGGGAGAACACCUAUAGCGAAGGCAGCUCUCUGGCUUACUUCUGACGCUGAGGUGCGAAAGCGUGGGUAGCGAACCGGAUUAGAUACCCGGGUAGUCCACGCCGUAAACACUGGACACUAGGAGUUGGACAAAAGUUCAGUUCCGCAGCUAACGCGAUAAGUGUCCCGCCUGGGGAGUACGAUCGCAAGGUUGAACUCAAAGGAAUUGACGGGGCCUGCACAGCGGUGGAGCAUGUGGUUAAUUCGAUGAUACGCGAGACCUUACUGGACUUGACAUCUGUUGAUCGCUCUGGAAAAGAGUUUCCCGAUUUUCGGACAGCAG
This 970-nucleotide ribosomal RNA is filed under the name uncultured bacterium. RNAcentral describes it as "bacterial SSU rRNA". It matches the Rfam family "Bacterial small subunit ribosomal RNA", at positions 42 to 1032 of the family's 1533-position model. The record is from RNAcentral.